This 485-nucleotide ribosomal RNA is filed under the name uncultured bacterium. RNAcentral's name for it is "partial 16S ribosomal RNA". It matches the Rfam family "Bacterial small subunit ribosomal RNA", at positions 28 to 507 of the family's 1533-position model. The record is from RNAcentral.
GAUGAACGCUAGCUACAGGCUUAACACAUGCAAGUCGAGGGGCAGCAUGACCUAGCAAUAGGUUGAUGGCGACCGGCGCACGGGUGAGUAACACGUAUCCAACCUGCCGAUUAUUCCUGGAUAGCCUUUCGAAAGAAAGAUUAAUACUGGAUAGCAUAACGAGAAGGCAUCUUCUUGUUAUUAAAGAAUUUCGAUAAUCGAUGGGGAUGCGUUCCAUUAGUUUGUUGGCGGGGUAACGGCCCACCAAGACAUCGAUGGAUAGGGGUUCUGAGAGGAAGGUCCCCCACAUUGGAACUGAGACACGGUCCAAACUCCUACGGGAGGCAGCAGUGAGGAAUAUUGGUCAAUGGACGAGAGUCUGAACCAGCCAAGUAGCGUGAAGGAUGACUGCCCUAUGGGUUGUAAACUUCUUUUAUAUGGGAAUAAAGUGGGCCACGUGUGGCUUUUUGUAUGUACCAUACGAAUAAGGAUCGGCUAACUCCGUG